This 274-nucleotide ribosomal RNA is filed under the name uncultured bacterium. RNAcentral's name for it is "partial 16S ribosomal RNA". It matches the Rfam family "Archaeal small subunit ribosomal RNA", at positions 473 to 747 of the family's 1478-position model. The record is from RNAcentral.
AAACCAGCACCUCAAGUGGUCAGGAUGAUUAUGGGGCCUAAAGCAUCCGUAGCCGGCUCUGUAAGUUUUCGGUUAAAUCUGUACGCUUAACGUACAGGCUGCUGGGAAUACUGCAGAGCUAGGGAGUGGGAGAGGUAGACGGUACUCGGGAGGAAGUGGUAAAAUGCUUUGAUCUCUCGAUGACCACCUGUGGCGAAGGCGGUCUACCAGAACACGUCCGACGGUGAGGGAUGAAAGCUGGGGGAGCAAACCGGAUUAGAAACCCCGGUAGUCC